RNAcentral lists this transfer RNA (67 nucleotides) under Loxodonta africana (African savanna elephant). It matches the Rfam family "tRNA". Rfam says of the family: Transfer RNA (tRNA) molecules are approximately 80 nucleotides in length. Their secondary structure includes four short double-helical elements and three loops (D, anti-codon, and T loops). The record is from Rfam by way of RNAcentral. Lineage: Eukaryota; Metazoa; Chordata; Mammalia; Proboscidea; Elephantidae.
GGUGGCACAGUGAAUAAGCAUUUGGCUGGUAACCAAAAGGUCAGCAGUUCAAAUCUGCUUGCCACUU